GAUGCACGCUGGCGGCGUGCCUAAUACAUGCAAGUCGAGCGAACAGACGAGGAGCUUGCUCCUCUGACGUUAGCGGCGGACGGGUGAGUAACACGUGGAUAACCUACCUAUAAGACUGGGAAAACUUCGGGAAACCGGCGCUAAUACCGGAUAAUAUAUUGAACCGCAUGGUUGAAUAGUGAGAGACGGUUUUGCUGUCACUUAUAGAUGGAUCCCGGCCGCAUUAGCUAGUUGGUAAGGUAACGGCUUACCAAGGCAACGAUGCGUAGCCGACCUGAUAGGGUGAUCGCCCACCCGGGAACUUGGACAGGGUCCAUGCUCCUACGGGAGGCAGCAGUCGGGAAUCUUCCGCAAUGGGCGAAAGCCUUGCGGAGCGACGCCGCGUGAGUGAUGAAGGUCUUCGGAUCGUAAAACUCUGUUAUUAGGGAAGAACAAAUGUGUAAGGAACUAUGCACUUCUUGACGGUACCUAAUCAGAAAGCCACGGCUAACUACGUG
Molecule: ribosomal RNA, 497 nt
Filed under: uncultured bacterium
Lineage: Bacteria
Description: partial 16S ribosomal RNA
Rfam family: Bacterial small subunit ribosomal RNA
Source: RNAcentral